This 507-nucleotide ribosomal RNA is filed under the name uncultured bacterium. Its description in RNAcentral is "partial 16S ribosomal RNA". The stretch from base 20 to 335 matches the Rfam family "Bacterial small subunit ribosomal RNA", at positions 47 to 358 of the family's 1533-position model. The record is from RNAcentral.
GACGAACGCUGGCGGCGCGCCUAACACAUGCAAGUCGAACGAGCGAGAGAGAGCUUGCUUUCUUGAGCGAGUGGCGAACGGGUGAGUAACGCGUGAGGAACCUGCCUCAAAGAGGGGGACAACAGUUGGAAACGACUGCUAAUACCGCAUAAGCCCACGGUGCCGCAUGGCACAGAGGGAAAAGGAGCAAUCCGCUUUGAGAUGGCCUCGCGUCCGAUUAGCUAGUUGGUGAGGUAACGGCCCACCAAGGCGACGAUCGGUAGCCGGACUGAGAGGUUGAACGGACACAGGGGGAAGGAGAGGGGGAAAGGAGUCAGAGGGGAGGGAGGAGGGGGGAAGAUGGCAGAAGGGGGGAAGGCGGGAGGAGGGGGGGGGGGGGGAAGGAGGAAGGUUUGCGGAUUGUAGCCGGGUGUGGGGGGGGAAAAAGAGGACGGAAACGAACAGGGAAGUGACGGCGACCAACGGGCAAGCAGACGCAGUAAUAAUCGGAGGCGCAACGGGCCGACC